GGACAGAUGCCAAGUCUGCGACACCCCUCCUCUGUAACUCCUGCUGGGCCCAUGGUUUCAAGCCCUCCAAAAAGUGAAACAACUUAUCUUUUUCAGAUAUGUCUUGAAUGUCCAACAUCAAUGCCGAGAACUGCUUGACAUACUCUCGAACAGUCCCAGUUUGUUUGAGAUGCCUUAAGUUUCGUCGGGCAAUGAAUUCCACAUUCUCUGGCAAAAACUGUGCCUUAAUCUCCCUCUUCAAGUCCUCCCAGCUGGCAAUGGUACACCGCUCGGCUUGAAUGUCUUCAUACCGAGUCCGCCACCAUAAUUUGGCAUCCCCGAUUAAGUAUAUUGUAGCCAAGAUAAUUUUGGUGUCUUCAGAGUCCGCACCACUCGAAAGUACUGCUCGAUGUCGAACAAGAAGUUCUCUAACUCCUUUGCAUCACGAGCUCCACCAUAACUUCGAGGCUCUGGUGCUCGCAUUCGGCCUUGCCCACCA
Molecule: long non-coding RNA, 478 nt
Filed under: Elaeis guineensis (African oil palm)
Lineage: Eukaryota; Viridiplantae; Streptophyta; Magnoliopsida; Arecales; Arecaceae
Description: long non-coding RNA (EGUI_LNC005629)
Source: RNAcentral